AACGAACGCUGGCGGCAUGCCUAACACAUGCAAGUCGAACGAGACCUUCGGGUCUAGUGGCGCACGGGUGCGUAACGCGUGGGAACCUGCCCUUAGGUUCGGAAUACCUCCCCGAAAGGGGUGCUAAUACCGGAUAAUGUCUUCGGACCAAAGAUUUAUCGCCUUUGGAUGGGCCCGCGUUGGAUUAGCUAGUUGGUAGGGUAAAAGCCUACCAAGGCGACGAUCCAGAGCUGGUCUGAGAGGAUGAUCAGCCACACUGGGACUGAGACACGGCCCAGACUGCUACGGGAGGCAGCAGUGGGGAAUAUUGGACAAUGGGCGAAAGCCUGAUCCAGCAAGGCCGCGUGAGUGAUGAAGGCCUUAGGGUUGUAAAGCUCUUUUACCCGGGAUGAUAAGGACAGUACCGGGAGAAUAAGCUCCGGCUAACUCCGU
This 432-nucleotide ribosomal RNA is filed under the name uncultured bacterium. RNAcentral's name for it is "partial 16S ribosomal RNA". It matches the Rfam family "Bacterial small subunit ribosomal RNA", at positions 29 to 506 of the family's 1533-position model. The record is from RNAcentral.